AUGAAACGUAUAACUAAGGAUAUUCCAAAAUUUGCCCUUGAUAGAGUUCUUCAUUUUGAUCUAGAGGAAAUUUAUAUGUAUUGUGCGGUGAAUUGUAUUGACAAUCCUUAUAUUGCCAACUACAUAAAGAAAAGAAAACAAAUAGAAGAUGAAGAGAAUACUAAUGAAAGGGAAGAGACUUCCCAAUAUACUCCUAUUAUUUCUUAUGAUGAAUCAGGUAACGAGGAGGAGCCUCCUAUUCAACCAAUCUCAUUAAUAAGGAGCUCCAAAAAGAGGAUUGAACCCACACAUGAUGUGGUGAAGAAGAAGAAAAGAAAAAGGAAGAGAGGUAAAAAGAUAUCUCUCCCAAAUAAUGCUGCUCCUAUUACUAUUGUGCCUCAUGAAAAUAUAAUUGUGGAAGAUAAUGAUACUUCUUAUGAUCUUGAAAAUCUUUUUGGCACUUGCUUGGAAGAAUAUAAUAAUUGCUAUACUAUUGGUGCUAUCCAUACUAUUAAUGAUGAGAGUGAUUAUGCUUAUGAUAUGAAAAGGCCCAAACUUAGGGAUGCUAUGUUUGAUGAAGAUGAUGUUUUUGAGAAUAUAUUUUCUGCAAUUAAUGUUUGUCCCAAGCCUGGGGAUGCUACACUUAAUGAAGAUAAUAUUUUUAGUCUCCCAAGUUUUAAUAUGCAAAUUUAUAAUGAUGAUAGCAUGCCUCCUACUUAUGAUAAUUAUUGUGAUGCUACAUAUGCUAUAAAAAGUAGUGAUUAUAUUUAUAAAACUUGUCACGAUUAUGAUUACCCCUUCUCUAAACAUUACUCUUUUAAUGUGGAAAUAAUUUAUUGUAUUCAAGUCUCUUAUGAUACUCCCACUAUUCCGAAUGAGAAGAAUUUUGCUUAUGUGGAGAGUAGUAAAUUUUCUAUGCUUGUAGAUCAUGAAAAAAGUGAUUUAGGUGCUGGUUAUAUUGUUGAAUUCAUUCAUGAUGCUACUGGAAAUUAUUAUGAGGGAGGAAUAUAUGCUUGUAGGAAUUGCAAUAAUAUCAAGUUUCCUCUCUAUGUGCUUAAAGUUUCGAAAUUAUGCUUGUUUUACCAUCCUAUGCAAGUGUAUUCUUGUUCCCAAAAGUUGUUUGCUCACAAAAUCCCUAUGCAUAGGAAGUGGGUUAGACUUAAAUGUGCUAGUAAUAUUCUUCAUGAUGCUCUCUUUAUGUUACUAUUCUUAUCUUUUAUGUGA
This 1203-nucleotide ribosomal RNA is filed under the name Triticum aestivum (bread wheat). RNAcentral's name for it is "partial small subunit ribosomal RNA". The record is from RNAcentral. Lineage: Eukaryota; Viridiplantae; Streptophyta; Magnoliopsida; Poales; Poaceae.